RNAcentral lists this long non-coding RNA (1030 nucleotides) under Parus major (Great Tit). RNAcentral's name for it is "lncRNA (ENSPMJG00000004289.1)". Lineage: Eukaryota; Metazoa; Chordata; Aves; Passeriformes; Paridae. The record is from RNAcentral.
CAGAAAUGAGGCAGGGGAUGGGGAUAAGGCUGGGGAUGGGGUCUGGGGGCCUUUGGGUGGAAGCACUUGUCCAGCUGAACAGUGGGAGCUGUGCUGGAACACCAGCAGGAGCCUUGGGAAAAGGAGUUUUUCCAGUGAUACAGCUGAGACACCACAGCUGGCACACCCAGCUCUCCUGGCAUCUGUGGCUGAAAUCAAACUGAGCUCUGCAGCUCAGUUCUUGUCCUGGUGCUUCAAGACAAAUUCGGUAUUACUGUACAUCCCAGGUGUUGUGACAGGAACACAACACAAAUGGCUCUCACAGGACAUUCAUGGGAAAAACAGCAGAACUAAAGGAGUAAACAAUAAAUCAUUCCUGAACAAGGCAGCUCUGAACUCAAAAAUCUUGACGUGGAGAUGUUAUCUGAGUUGCUGCUGUCUCUAAGCAAUAGCAGCCCUGCUCAGCACCACGUGCAGUGAAUAACCACUGAUGUUCUGCUGUUCCUCUGACAGCUUCCACUCCACAUGAAGACAUCCCAAGGCACGUCUGCCUUGCUUCAUAAUCUGACCAUCCCUGCUAAGGGUUGCUGCUUUGGACACAUUCCACAAACCCAGAUUGCUCCAAGCCCUGUCCAACGUGGCUUUGAACACUUCCAGUUUGAUUGCUGAGUCCAAACAUUUAUAAGGAAAAAAAUAUUUCCAUCUACACAUCAGUAAUGAUCUACCCAGUGGUGCAGGAGAGAAACAAAAAGCUGAUUUUUCCCUUGCCACAGCCCCAGCUGUAAGCAAUGUGAACAAUGAGGCACAGAGCACCACUGAAGUUCCAAAGAAAACAAGUUUACAUCCAGACAGGCUUGAGCCAGAUAAGCUGAGACAAUCUGUAUCCUAUAUGAGAAGCUUUGCCAGGGAAUUUGAAGCCAAUCUUUGCUUCCAUUUUUAAGCAGAAAAUCCUUAUGUUAAAGAAAAAAACUGUAGAGAAAAGUAUGGACUGAGUAUUUGGGGCAAAAGGCAUAAAAAUAAACCUGCACCACUGAAUACUGGAGUGUUGGGA